This is a long non-coding RNA of Macaca fascicularis (crab-eating macaque), 1686 nucleotides long. The record is from Ensembl. Lineage: Eukaryota; Metazoa; Chordata; Mammalia; Primates; Cercopithecidae.
UCCCACAGAAACGUCCACGCUGAAUUUUUCACUGUAAUAUCAGCCUCCUGUUUAUUACUGUGACAUGAAGUGCAGUUGCCUGAUGACCCACCUGGGACACUCUGUCUGUGAGUCUGGUGGGCGGUUAUUAGAGAAAGUACAAGUAGUCCCUGACUCUGUCUAGUUUCAUUUAUAGCAUGGUCUGUCGGCUUAAAGAGAACACGUGAUCCCCCCACAGUGGCUCUGCCUGCCGGGUUCGGUCAGGGACCCUGCUGCCCACCAGAUGCCCACGUUAGGACCCAGGAUUCUGCCCCCACUCAUGGGCCCCCCUCCCCCACUCUGCACACCAGUUGAGCUGUAGCCUAGGCCUCCUCCCACCCCUAUCUCUGUGUGGUUGCUGCAAAGACCAGAGAUUCUCCUGUGGUGAUAUUUACAGCUUUAAAUACUUCACGUGACAGUGAGGCUUGUGGCUUGUACGGGACACCUAAGCUCUUCUUGUAUCUGUCCGUGCUGUCUUCCUUUGUUGCAACUUGGCUCUGACCUGGCAUUGAAACAUGGAUUAGUCUUUUGUACUGUUUGCAGGUUGUAUAACAACAGUACAGUGUGAAUAGAAUAAAAUAAAUGCUUGCAAGCUAAAAAGAAGAAGAAAGAAAGAACCUCAUGCCCAGCCCCCCCAGGGCAGGCAGGAAGAAAUCCUCCGCCCAGAAGCACCUUUUCAAGCCCCAGAACUCCCUGUGAUUGGACCAGCUGGGGUCACGUGCCCAUCUCUGACCCAAUCAGUCGUGUGGCCAGGGGCAGUCAGUAUAUUGACUGGCAGAGAGUAGGGUGGGUCCCCAGGUGGGUCCCCCUCAAAGCAAGAGGAUGGACGAUUGGGGAGCUAUGGUUUCCUAAAAACAAAUUACGGGGCUAGUUCCAAAAAAGGGGUUGAAUGGGUCAACCAGAACUCCCUCAAAAGUCAGCUAUCCCCGUCCUUUCCUAUUGAUGCUAAUUUCCAGCCACAUGGCUGGUGUAGUGGAGAGAACACGGCUAGUCUGAGACAGACCUGACUGCUAGUUCUGGUUUCUCUCCUCUACUGUCUGUGGGUCUCUGGGCUACAACUCCCCGAGCCUAAGAUCCCUCCUUUAUAAAAAAUGUCGGUGAGAAUACACAGCAAGCUGUGAGGAUUAAAUGCAGGGAAAGUGCCUGAAAUGCAGUAAGUGCUCAAUCAAUGCUAAUUAGCAGCUACACAAACAGUGUCUUGCACCCACACAAUUACACAGCGUUUGAAAAUGCUGAUUCACUUUUCUGGAAUGCACUUCUCUCUGUUAUCAGCACAUCCUCCCAAACCCCAUUCUUCCACACCCCACCCACCCUGGGUGCCUCCUCUGUGCGCUGUUAUAGCAGAGUGGUUAAAAACGUGCCAUUUGGACCGGGCACAGUGGCUCACGCCUGUAAUCCCAGCGCUUUGGGAGGCCAAGGUGGGUGGAUCACCUGAGGUCAGGAGUUUGAGACCAGCCUGGCCAACAUGGCAAAACCCUGUCUCUACUAAAAAUACAAAAAACUAGCUAGGGGUGGUGGUGGGCACCUAUAAUCCCAGCUACUUGGGAGGCUGAGGAAAGAGAAUUGCUUGAACCCGGGGAGGCAGAGGUUACACCACUGUACUCCAGCCUGGGCGAAAGAGUGAGACUGCCUCAAAACAACAAAACAAAACAAAACAAAACAAAAAAA